This 253-nucleotide ribosomal RNA is filed under the name uncultured bacterium. RNAcentral's name for it is "partial 16S ribosomal RNA". It matches the Rfam family "Bacterial small subunit ribosomal RNA", at positions 524 to 776 of the family's 1533-position model. The record is from RNAcentral.
UACGUAGGGGGCAAGCGUUAUCCGGAUUUACUGGGUGUAAAGGGAGCGUAGACGGCAGGGCAAGUCUGGAGUGAAAGGCGGGGGCUCAACCCCCGGACUGCUCUGGAAACUGCCAGGCUGGAGUGCAGGAGAGGUAAGUGGAAUUCCUAGUGUAGCGGUGAAAUGCGUAGAUAUAUGGAGGAACACCGGUGGCGAAAGCGGCUCUCUGGCCUGUAACUGACACUGAGGCUCGAAAGCGUGGGGAGCAAACAGG